This 467-nucleotide ribosomal RNA is filed under the name uncultured bacterium. Its description in RNAcentral is "partial 16S ribosomal RNA". It matches the Rfam family "Bacterial small subunit ribosomal RNA", at positions 28 to 507 of the family's 1533-position model. The record is from RNAcentral.
GAUGAACGCUGGCGGCGUGCUUAACACAUGCAAGUCGAACGGAAAGGCUCCUGCUUGCAGGGGUACUCGAGUGGCGAACGGGUGAGUAACACGUGGGUGAUCUGCCCUGCACUUCGGGAUAAGCCUGGGAAACUGGGUCUAAUACCGGAUAGGACCACAUUUUGGAUGGUGUGGUGGAAAGUUUUUCGGUGUGGGAUGAGCUCGCGGCCUAUCAGCUUGUUGGUGGGGUAAUGACCUACCAAGGCGUCGACGGGUAGCCGGCCUGAGAGGGUGUACGGCCACAUUGGGACUGAGAUACGGCCCAGACUCCUACGGGAGGCAGCAGUGGGGAAUAUUGCACAAUGGGCGCAAGCCUGAUGCAGCGACGCCGCGUGGGGGAUGACGGCCUUCGGGUUGUAAACUCCUUUCGCUAGGGACGAAGCGUUUUUGUGACGGUACCUGGAGAAGAAGCACCGGCUAACUACGUG